Molecule: long non-coding RNA, 403 nt
Organism: Gavia stellata (red-throated loon)
Lineage: Eukaryota; Metazoa; Chordata; Aves; Gaviiformes; Gaviidae
Exons: 3
Source: RefSeq, a predicted model, not a curated record
CCCUUGGCUCUGUCCUUGCAUCCGAAGAUGUUGCCCUUUGGAAUGCCAUUGUGCCUGGCUGUCUCUGUCCGUCUCCUGCUGCUAAAUAAGUAAAGAAAUGAGAAUAGUCAUGUGAAGUUGAUUUUUCCAAAGAAAGAAUUUCUAGACAACUGCAGCAUUAAAAUGCUCAGAUUCAGAGAAGUUCUACCCUUUCUGCUCUGAAGUUAGCAUCAAGCACCUGCAACUACUUCUGUGGUCCCAGAGCCACUGAAGAAUGCAUGUUGGAUUGCCUGCUUUUCUGAUGCUGAAAAGGAAGAGUCAGAACGCAUCGUCCCAUGCUAGCUGUGGCUUCUCCAUGGAAGGCACUUACGUCUGGCUUCAGAUCACAUUAGCAGUUUAAGAGCCAGAGGAAAAGGUAUAUUUC